RNAcentral lists this ribosomal RNA (271 nucleotides) under uncultured archaeon. Its description in RNAcentral is "partial 16S ribosomal RNA". It matches the Rfam family "Archaeal small subunit ribosomal RNA", at positions 477 to 747 of the family's 1478-position model. The record is from RNAcentral.
CAGCGCCACGAGUGGCAAUCACGAUUAUUGGGCCUAAAGCGUCCGUAGCCGGUUCGGUAAAUCCUUUGUGAAAUCGCCAGGCUUAACCUGGCGGCGUGCAGGGGACACUGCCGAACUCGAGACCGGGAGGAGUUAGAAGUAUUUCUGGGGGAGCGGUAAAAUGCUAUAAUCCCAGAAGGACUACCUAUGGCGAAGGCAUCUAACUAGAACGGAUCUGACGGUGAGGGACGAAAGCCAGGGGAGCGAACCGGAUUAGAUACCCGAGUAGUCC